GACCUCCUCGGAUCGCAUCUGGAGAGCAGCUAGUGUUCUGCCAGCUUCGGAAACAGGAGGGAGAGCAAGCCAGCAGGGCACCCAUUCCAUUCCCAGCUUGCCUUGUAGCUGGUGACUGGAAGACACUCUGCCACAGCC
Small nucleolar RNA from Cavia porcellus (domestic guinea pig), 138 nucleotides. The record is from Ensembl. NCBI's taxonomy places the organism in Eukaryota, Metazoa, Chordata, Mammalia, Rodentia, Caviidae.